CGAGGUUGUGAAGAAGAAAGACAUGGCGGAAGAGCACAGAUGCCAAGCACCUGAAGGUCACCGUCUCUGCGCCAAUAACUGCGGAUUCUUCGGUAGCCCAGCUACUAUGGAUCUCUGCUCCAAAUGUUAUAGAGAUUUCCGUCUUAAAGAACAAGAACAAGCCUCCACAAAAUCAACCAUCGAAGCCGCUCUCUCAGCCUCAUCAUCUCCUUCUCCUUCCUCUUCCCC
This 228-nucleotide long non-coding RNA is filed under the name Cucumis sativus (cucumber). RNAcentral's name for it is "long non-coding RNA (CSAT_LNC002459)". Lineage: Eukaryota; Viridiplantae; Streptophyta; Magnoliopsida; Cucurbitales; Cucurbitaceae. The record is from RNAcentral.